UUCCUCAGCCUCCUGACGGAAGCUGGAAAGGAUUUUGCUCUGAUAUUUAAAAUGGGAACCUUGUUAAGCUCCUAGAGAUAAAUUUCGCAAUAUUGUGGAGUUUUUAACUCUCAGACUUGGCACUGAGCCUCCAGCAAUUCAUCAAUUAUGGUACAGAACUUCCUACCUUGGCACUGGUUCCUCCGUGGUUCUGUUCCUGAGUUUCUGCUCUGACUAAUUCAUGAAAAAAUACUGCUGUUCCGUAACAUCCUUUGAGACUAAGUUGGUGCUAGCAUGUGGAAAUACAGUUCUCUCUGUGUAUUAACUUCGAUCCUAUGACACUGUGCCUUGCAGUCUGUGGGAUCUUAGUUCCCUGACCAGGGAUUGAACCUGCUCCCUCAGCAAUGAGAUCGUGGAGUCCUAACCACUGGACCACCAGGGAAUUUGGUAACAGUAACCUCUUGAUGUUCUGACUACCUGGUUUCUGUUGCAAAAAUCCUUAUGUAUCCUGGCUCCUCCCUAAUCUCUUUGAAGCAGUCCCUCAGAGCUGUCUGAGAGGCUGUCUUCUAGGCUGAAGUCCUCAGUUUUGUCUGCCAAAUAAAACAUAAUUCUCAACUUUUAGAGGUUGUACAUUUUUUUUUCAGUCCACAGUUUGACAGACAGUGAAGGGGCCCAGAGCAGACUCCUAUCCUUCACCUGAACUCUACAAGGAACUGGAGCGUUGGUACUGGCAGAGGCCUUUCCUCCUCGGAAGUCCAGAUGAAUUUGGCUGUUUGGCUGACAGGGUCUUGAUGCUCUGGCCUGGUGUCAGGCCUGUGACUCCAAGGUGGCAGAGCCGAGUUCAGGACAUUGGACCACCAGAGACCUCCUGGCCCCACGUAAUAUCAAUCGGUGAGAGCUCUCCCAGAGAUCUCCAUCUCAAUGCUAAGACCCAACAAGCUCCAGUGCUGGACAACCCAUGCCAAACAACUAGCAAGACAGGAACACAACCCCACCCAUUAGCAGAGAGGCUGCCUAAAAUCAUAAUAAGGUCACAGACACCCCAAAACACACUACCAAACGUGGUCCUGCCCACCAGAAAGACAAGAUCCAGCCUCAUCCAUCAGAACACAGGCACCAGUCCCCUCCACCAGGAAGGCUAAACAACCCACUGAACCAACCUUAGCCACUGGGGGCAGACACCAAAAACAACAAGAAGUAUGAACCUGCAGCCUGUGAAAAGGAAACCCCAAACACAGUAAGUUAACCAAAAUGAGAAGAUAGAGAAAUACACAGCAGAUGAAAGAGCAAGGUAAAAACCCACCGGACCAAACAAAUGAAGAGGAAAUAGGCAGUCUACCUGAAAAGGAAUUCAGAGUAAUGAUAGUAAAGAUGAUCCAAAAUCUUGGAAAUAGAAUGGUGAAAAUACAAGAAAUGUUUAACAAGGACCUAGAAGAACUAAAGAGUAAACAAACAAUGAUGAACACCACAAUAAACAAAAUUAAAAUUCUCUAGAAGGAAUCAAUAGCAGAAUAACUGAGGGAGAAGACGGAUAAGUGACCUGGAAGAUAAAAUAGUGGAAAUAACUACCACCGAGCAGAAUAAAGAAAAAAGAAUGAAAAGAAUGGAGGACAGUUCCAGAGACCUCUGGAACAACAUUCAAAGCACCAACAUUCGUAUUAUAGGGGUCCCAGAAGAAGAAGAGAAAAAGAAAGUGUCUGAGAAAAUAUUUGAAGAGAUUAUAGUUGAAAACUUCUGUUACAUGGGAAAGGAAAUAAUCAAGUCCAGGAAGUGCAGAGAGGCCCAUACAGGAUAAAUCCAAGGAGAAACACACCAAGACACAUAUUAAUCAAACUAUCAAAAAUUAACAAAGAAAAAAUAUUAAAAGCAGCAAGGGAAAAGCAACAAAUAAUAUACAAGGGAAUCCCCAUAAGGUUAACAGCUGAUCUUUCAGCAGAAACUCUGCAAGCUAGAAGGGAGUGGCAGGACAUAUUUAAAGUGAUGAAAGGGAAAAACCUACAACCAAGACUACUCUACCCAGCAAGGACCUCACUGAGAUUCGACAGAGAAAUUAAAACCUUUAUAGACAAGCAAAAGUUAAGAGGAUUCAGCACCACCAAACCAGCUUUACAAAAAAUGCCAAGGGAACCUCUCUCAGCAGGAAACACAAGAGAAGAAAAAGACUUACAAAAACAAACCCAAAAUAAUUAAGAAAAUGGUAAUACAAAAUUAAUGCACAGAAAUCUCCUGCAUUCCUAUACACUAAUGAAAAAUCUGAAAGAGAAAUUAAGGAAAUACUCCCAUUUACCAUUGCAACAAAAAGAAUAAAAUAUCUAGGAAUAAAACUACCUAAGGAGACAAAAGACCUCUAUGCAGAAAGCUAUAAGACACUGAUGAAAGAAAUUAAAGAUGAUACAAACAGAUGGAGAGAUAUACAAUGUUCUUGGAUUGGAAGAAUCAACAUUGUGAAAGUGACUAUACUACCAGAAGCAAUCUACACAUUCACUGACAUCCCUAUCAAACGACCAAUGGCAUUUUUCACACAACUAGAACAAAAAAAUUCACAGUUUGUAUGGAAACACAAAAGAACCUGAAUAGUCAAAGCAAUCUUGAGAACGAAAAACACAGCUGGAGGAAUCAGGUUCCCUGACUUCAGACUAUACUACAAAGCUACAGUAAUCAAGACAGUAUAGUACUGGCACAAAAACAGAAAUAUAGAUCAAUGGAACAGGAUAGAAAGCGCAGGGAUAAACCCACACACAUAUGGUCACCCUAUCUUUGAUAAAGGAGGCAAGAAUAUACAAUGGAGAAAAGACAGCCUCUUCAAUAAGUGGUGCUGGGAGAACUGGACAGCUACAUGUAAAAGAAUGAAAUUACAACACUCCCUUACACAAUACACAAAAAUAAACUCAAAAUGAACUGAAGAACUAAAUGUAAGACCAGACACUAUAAAAUUCUUAGAGGAAAACAUAGAACACUCUGUGACAUACAACACAGCAAGAUCCUUUUUGACCCACCUCCUAGAGAAAUGGAAAUAAAAACAAAAUAAACAAAUGGGACCUAAUGAAACUUAAAAGCUUUUGCACAGCAAAGGAAACCAUAAACAGGAUGGAAAAGUCAACCCUCAGAAUGGGAAAAAAUAUCCACAAAGGAAACAACUGACAAAGGAUUAACCUCCAAAAUAUACAAGCAGCUCAUGCAGCUCAAUAUGAAGAAAACAAACAUCCCAAUCCAAAAAUGGGCAGAAGACCUAAAUAGACAUUUCUCCAAAGAAGAUAUACAGAUUGCCAGCAAACACAUGAAAGGAUGCUCAACAUCACUAAUCAUUAGAGAAAUGCAAAUCAAAACUACAGUGAGAUAUCACCUCACACCAGUCAGAAUGGCCAUCAUCAAAAAAUCUACAAACAGUAAAUGCUGGAGAGGGUGUGAAGAAAAGGGAACCGUCUUGCACUGUUGGUGGGAAUGUAAAUUGAUACAGCCACUAUGGAGAACAGUAUGGAGGUUCCUUAAAGAACUAAAAAUAGCACUACCAUAUGACCCAGCAAUCCCACUCCUGGGCAUAUACCCUGAGAAGACCAUAAUUCAAAAAGAUGCAUGCACCCCAAUGUUCAUUGCAGCACUAUUUACAAUAGCUAGGACAUAGAAGCAACCGAAGUGUCCUUUGACAGAUGAAUAAAGAUGAUUUGGCAUAUAUACAGAAUGGAAUAUUACUCAGCCAUAAAAAGAAACUGAAUUGACUUAUUUAUAGUGAGGUGAUGGACCUAGAGUCAGUCAUACAGAGUGAAGUCAGAAAAACAAAUACCGUAUGCUAACACAUAUAUAUGGAAUCUAAAAAAAAAAAGGUUCUGAUGAACAUAGGGGCAGGACAGGAAUAAAGACACAGACGUAGGGAAUGGACUUGAGGACACAGGGAGGGGGAAGGGUAAGCUGGGACGAAGUGUGGGAGUAGCAUUGACAUAUAUGGGCUACCAAAUGUAAAAUAGAUAGCUAGUGGGAAGCAGCUGCAUAGCACAGGGAGAUCAGCUCAGUGCCUUGUGACCAUGUAGAGG
Molecule: long non-coding RNA, 4007 nt
Organism: Lagenorhynchus albirostris (white-beaked dolphin)
Lineage: Eukaryota; Metazoa; Chordata; Mammalia; Artiodactyla; Delphinidae
Exons: 5
Source: RefSeq, a predicted model, not a curated record